Molecule: ribosomal RNA, 534 nt
Filed under: Aestuariibacter sp.
Lineage: Bacteria; Pseudomonadati; Pseudomonadota; Gammaproteobacteria; Alteromonadales; Alteromonadaceae
Description: bacterial SSU rRNA
Rfam family: Bacterial small subunit ribosomal RNA
Source: RNAcentral
GAACCUGAUGCAGCCAUGCCGCGUGUGUGAAGAAGGCCUUCGGGUUGUAAAGCACUUUCAGUUGUGAGGAAAGGUUGGUAGUUAAUACCUGCCAGCUGUGACGUUAACAACAGAAGAAGCACCGGCUAACUCCGUGCCAGCAGCCGCGGUAAUACGGAGGGUGCGAGCGUUAAUCGGAAUUACUGGGCGUAAAGCGCACGCAGGCGGCUUGUUAAGCUAGAGGUGAAAGCCCCGCGCUCAACGUGGGAACUGCCUUUAGAACUGGCAGGCUAGAGUCUUGGAGAGGGGAGUGGAAUUCCAGGUGUAGCGGUGAAAUGCGUAGAUAUCUGGAGGAACAUCAGUGGCGAAGGCGGCUCCCUGGCCAAAGACUGACGCUCAUGUGCGAAAGUGUGGGUAGCGAACAGGAUUAGAUACCCUGGUAGUCCACACCGUAAACGCUGUCUACUAGCUGUUUGUGUAUUUAAUACGUGAGUAGCGAAGCUAACGCGCUAAGUAGACCGCCUGGGGAGUACGGCCGCAAGGUUAAAACUCAAA